ACGCUCAUGGACGAAAGCCAGGGGAGCGAAAGGGAUUAGAUACCCCUGUAGUCCUGGCCGUAAACGAUGAACACUAGGUGUCGGGGGAAUCGACCCCUUCGGUGUCGUAGCUAACGCGUUAAGUGUUCCGCCUGGGGAGUACGCACGCAAGUGUGAAACUCAAAGGAAUUGACGGGGGCCCGCACAAGCGGUGGAGUAUGUGGUUUAAUUCGAUGCAACGCGAAGAACCUUACCAGGGUUUGACAUCCUGCGAACCUCUUAGAAAUUUGAGGGUGCCUUCGGGAAUGCAGUGACAGGUGGUGCAUGGCUGUCGUCAGCUCGUGUCGUGAGAUGUUGGGUUAAGUCCCGCAACGAGCGCAACCCACGUUUUUAGUUGCCAGCAUUUAGUUGGGCACUCUAGAAAGACCGCCGGUGAUAAACCGGAGGAAGGUGUGGAUGACGUCAAGUCAUCAUGCCCCUUACACCCUGGGCUACACACGUACUACAAUGCUACGGACAAAGGGCAGCAAACUCGCGAGAGCUAGCAAAUCCCAUAAACCGUGGCUCAGUUCAGAUCGUAGGCUGCAACUCGCCUACGUGAAGUAGGAAUCGCUAGUAAUCGCAGGUCAGCAUACUGCGGUGAAUACGUUCCCGGGCCUUGUACACACCGCCCGUCACACCAUGGAAGUUGGCCAUGCCCGAAGUCGUUACUCCAACCCUUGUGGAGGAGGACGCCGAAGGUGGGGCUAAUGACUGGGGUGAAGUCAUAACAAGGUAACCGUA
RNAcentral lists this ribosomal RNA (762 nucleotides) under uncultured bacterium. RNAcentral describes it as "bacterial SSU rRNA". It matches the Rfam family "Bacterial small subunit ribosomal RNA", at positions 743 to 1504 of the family's 1533-position model. The record is from RNAcentral.